GCCUGGGUGGCUCAGUCGGUUAAGCGUCUGACUUCGGCUCAGGUCAUGAUCUCGCAGAUUGUGGAUUCAAGCCCCGCGUCAGGCU
RNAcentral lists this transfer RNA (85 nucleotides) under Felis catus (domestic cat). It matches the Rfam family "tRNA". Rfam says of the family: Transfer RNA (tRNA) molecules are approximately 80 nucleotides in length. Lineage: Eukaryota; Metazoa; Chordata; Mammalia; Carnivora; Felidae. The record is from Rfam by way of RNAcentral.